GCCCUCGUAGUUCAAGCGGAUAGAAUAGGGGAUUCCUAAUCCUCUGAUCUGGGUUCGAGUCCCGGCGAGGGUA
Molecule: transfer RNA, 73 nt
Filed under: bacterium
Lineage: Bacteria
Also listed under: 1 other name
Description: tRNA-Arg
Rfam family: tRNA
About the family: Transfer RNA (tRNA) molecules are approximately 80 nucleotides in length. Their secondary structure includes four short double-helical elements and three loops (D, anti-codon, and T loops).
Source: RNAcentral